GGGCAUGGGCGGCAGCUUACCAUGCAGUCGAGCGGUAACAGGGGUAGCUUGCGUACCCGCUGACGAGCGGCGGACGGGUGAGUAAUGCAUAGGAAACUGCCCAGUAGUGGGGGAUAGCCCGGGGAAACCCGGAUUAAUACCGCAUACGUCCUUCGGGAGAAAGCAGGGGAUCUUCGGACCUUGCGCUAUUGGAUGUGCCUAUGUCGGAUUAGCUGGUUGGUGAGGUAAUGGCUCACCAAGGCGACGAUCCGUAGCUGGUCUGAGAGGAUGAUCAGCCACAUCGGGACUGAGACACGGCCCGAACUCCUACGGGAGGCAGCAGUGGGGAAUAUUGGACAAUGGGGGCAACCCUGAUCCAGCCAUGCCGCGUGUGUGAAGAAGGCUUUCGGGUUGUAAAGCACUUUCAGUGAGGAGGAAAAGUUAGUCCUUAAUACGGGCUAGCCUUGACGUUACUCACAGAAGAAGCACCGGCUAACUCCGUGCCAGCAGCCGCGGUAAUACGGAGGGUGCAAGCGUUAAUCGGAAUUACUGGGCGUAAAGCGCGCGUAGGUGGUUUGAUAAGCGAGAUGUGAAAGCCCCGGGCUUAACCUGGGAACGGCAUUUCGAACUGUCAGGCUAGAGUGUGGUAGAGGGUAGUGGAAUUUCCUGUGUAGCGGUGAAAUGCGUAGAUAUAGGAAGGAACACCAGUGGCGAAGGCGGCUACCUGGACCAACACUGACACUGAGGUGCGAAAGCGUGGGGAGCAAACAGGAUUAGAUACC
RNAcentral lists this ribosomal RNA (761 nucleotides) under Marinobacter sp. Its description in RNAcentral is "bacterial SSU rRNA". It matches the Rfam family "Bacterial small subunit ribosomal RNA", at positions 31 to 786 of the family's 1533-position model. Lineage: Bacteria; Pseudomonadati; Pseudomonadota; Gammaproteobacteria; Pseudomonadales; Marinobacteraceae. The record is from RNAcentral.